AGGGAAUGCUCCUGCGCUUGUUUUCCAGGCUGGCGCACAGGCCGAGGAGCAGAAGCAGCCCCCGUGGAGAGCAGGCGAGGCUGGGAUCUGAGCUGCCCUGGCCACCGGGCUACCUGCAGGCAGAGUUCAUUCUUCAAGCUCGGGAAACAUGGAGGCGGUGUACCUGACUGCCAGGCUCGACUCAGACAGGACUUUCCCAGCACCCAACCUGUUUGUCAGCAGCACUGUCCUCAGAGAAGACACAGCUCAGCACCAGAGCCCUCGGCAAACAUGGGGUGUCCUGAAAAGAGGGGAACAGUAGCUCCCAAGAUGAAACACGGUAAGGGGCGAAAUCCCAUUCCAUUGUGCAGUGGAGCGGUGGAUUGACAAGUGGUGGUCAACUUGUAACCCCCAGCUGAACUGAGUAAGUGUGGCGCUGGGUGUGGGAGGCCCACCUGGGGAUUGUUGCCAGCAACAUAAGAGGCAGAACUAGAGAAGAAGAAAUGAGGCUGUUGGGAACUGGUAGAAGCUGUAAGGAGCUGUUGGUUCUCUUGGAGGAGCUCAUCAUGCUGGCUUUCUUGAUGAACUUGGCUGUUCCAUCCUCCAAGGAGCUCGGGACCUCAUUGGCACUGAAAAUAGCUUUGGUUCAUUUUAGGAGCGCUCUGGUCCUA
RNAcentral lists this long non-coding RNA (650 nucleotides) under Chinchilla lanigera (long-tailed chinchilla). RNAcentral's name for it is "lncRNA (ENSCLAG00000023340.1)". The record is from RNAcentral. Lineage: Eukaryota; Metazoa; Chordata; Mammalia; Rodentia; Chinchillidae.